Molecule: ribosomal RNA, 468 nt
Filed under: uncultured bacterium
Lineage: Bacteria
Description: partial 16S ribosomal RNA
Rfam family: Bacterial small subunit ribosomal RNA
Source: RNAcentral
GACGAACGCUGGCGGCGUGCUUAACACAUGCAAGUCGAACGGAAAGGCCCUGCUUGUGUGGGGUGCUCGAGUGGCGAACGGGUGAGUAACAGGUGAGUAACCUGCCCUUGACUUUGGGAUAACUUCAGGAAACUGGGGCUAAUACCGGAUAGGAUCUCCUGCUGCAUGGUGGGGGUUGGAAAGUUUCGGCGGUUGGGGAUGGACUCGCGGAUUAUCAGCUUGUUGGUGGGGGAGUGGCUUACCAAGGCUUUGACGGGUAGCCGGCCUGAGAGGGUGACCGGCCACAUUGGGACUGAGAUACGGCCCAGACUCCUACGGGAGGCAGCAGUGGGGAAUAUUGCACAAUGGGCGGAAGCCUGAUGCAGCAACGCCGCGUGCGGGAUGACGGCCUUCGGGUUGUAAACCGCUUUCGCCUGUGACGAAGCGUGAGUGACGGUAAUGGGUAAAGAAGCACCGGCUAACUACGUG